CCCUCCCCUCCCCCACCAAGGGUCGUGUCGUGCAUUAGGUUCUGCCGUGCCGUCAUGACAUGGACGGCUUUGUUCCGCCAUUGAGGAAAGCGACCAAGCGUCGCCAUUGAGGAGGACGAGCAGGUUCCGCCACGAAGGAAAACGCCCGAGCGCCGCCACAGGCAAUAGUUGGUGGCGCGCACACUCGUGGCGAAAAUCGCCUUGCGCGCCCCUAAGUUGGCGGUAUCGUCGCAUGGCCGCCGCCCCGGACCCAGCACUAGGCCUAAAUGCCAUGGUCCAGGGGGGCCGUGCCCAAGGAAGUUGUCGGACGGCCGGAUGAGUGGCAUCGAGAGAAGCGUCCGCCUCGGGCGCGGAAGGCCGAUCAUCGUGUUGGACGUGCGUGCACGGAAGCGGUACGGGUACCGACCUGAUUCCGGCCGUGGCAAACGUUCUCCUCGCCGCGGCAGAGAAAAUGAUCGUUUUUUGACCCACGGGCAGAGGCGACCUGCCCCUUCCUAGCGUUGUGGCAGGGAACCCGCGGGGGGCUGUCCGCCCCGGGUAUAGUAGGGGGAGGCAGCCCCCGACACGUGCUUGUCACGGCAUAGAAAAUGGUCGUUUUUUGACCCGUGACUGAGGUGACCUGCCCCAACGAGGCGUUGCGGCAGGGAACCCGCGGGGGGAUGUCGGCCCCGGGUAUAGUAGGGUUGGAAGAAACGGAGGAACCAAAAAAACCCACACGCGCGCGCGCCCGCCCCGCCCGCGCCUCGCGUCUACACGUGACUUGUGACUUGUGACUUUGGGCUUUGGGCCUUUGGGCCUUUGGGCAUAUUUCGAAGCAAACCACGGUGGUUGAGCGGCGGGCACGGUCAUGCCGGUCGGGUUGCCCGUUUCUCGGCCCCGCGGCAUUGUUUGGGUGCUUGCUUUGAAGGAAACCACGGGCGUUAACCCCACCGGGUACAGUUAGUCCGGUCGGGCUGGCAAACUCGGCAGAUUUCCUGCCGCGGCAGGAAUUGUCGUUGUCGCGGCAGAGGAGAGUGCCGUCUUUUGACCCGCGGCAGCGGUCGGAAAGCGCUUCCGACCGUUGCGGCGGGGAACCCGCGGGGGGAUGUCGGCCCCGGGUAUAGUAGGGGGAGGCAGUCCCACGACGGGUCGGCUGCCGCGGCAGGAGGGUUGCCCGUUUCUCGGUCCCGCGGCAUUGUUCGGGUGCUUAUUUUGAAGGAAACCUCGGGUGUUAACCCCCACCGGGUACAGUUAGUCCGGUCGGGCUGGCAAACUCGGCAGAUUUCCUGCCGCGGAUUCUGCCGCGGCAGGAAUUGUCGUUGUCGCGGCAGAGGAAAGUGUCGUUUUUUGACCCGCGGCAGCGGUCGGGAAGCGCUUCCUAGCGCUGUGGCAGGGAACCCGCGGGGGGAUGUCGGCCCCGGGUAUAGUAGGGGGAGGCAGUCCCCCGACGGGUCGGCUGCCGCGGCAGGAACGCGGCAGGAGUGUGGCUUUUUUCUCGGCCCGUGGCAUUGUUCGGAAGCUAAUUUCUGACGGAAACCACGUUGGCUGGACUCACCGAGGCAGGCCGGAUCGGCGGGCGCGGCAGAAAUCCUGCCUCGUCCGCAGGGUUGCCGUUUUUCGUGCCCGUAACAUCGUCCGGAGGCUUAUUUGAAGGAAACCACGGGUGUUUCGACCCCCAGGUAUAAAGCAGCGGUCCUGCCGUGGCAGGAAAACGGCCCGUCCUCUUGCGCCCGUGUCAUCGUAACUCCCGCGCGCUGUGGACCUUCGGUCGCCGUAUUGAGUAGACCCGCCGUGCUCUGCGCGGUGUGAUGCUUGUACGGUCUGAACGUCGUGGCUACGCUAGCGCAUGAGUUGUCUUGGACCAGUGUCUGCCGGCAGAUCCCCCGCCGUUGUGCGGCCGACUACCGGCGCCUGUGUCCUAUCAACGUUGCAUUGGACGGCUCUUACUUUUGCCGCCUUACCGGAAAGUUCUUGCAUGAUGGUCCCCGACCAACGGGAAUUGGUGCGUCGUAGAGAGUAGCCUCGCGGUGGAUGCCUGUUGGCGUUCCACUGCGGCCAUAUUGCGUUGGCGGCGUUGCCUCGUGGUGCCAUCACGCUACGUGUUUGGCCCUACCAAGGACACCUCGCUCCCGCUCUUGGUCUCGGAUGUCGCUCAUUGUAGAGGCUCGUGGCCCUUUGGCGUCGCGUCCCUUUCUGAAGCUCACCCAAAGGACGACAGCCGCUCCGUUUUUUUGCCGUUGCCAUGGCAUGCAAGUGGCUGGCACGCGCGACUCUCGGUGACGGCUUGUCGACUAGGACGUGCU
RNAcentral lists this unclassified non-coding RNA (2282 nucleotides) under Brachypodium distachyon (stiff brome). RNAcentral describes it as "35S rRNA intergenic spacer". The record is from RNAcentral. Lineage: Eukaryota; Viridiplantae; Streptophyta; Magnoliopsida; Poales; Poaceae.